Molecule: non-coding RNA, 402 nt
Organism: Camellia sinensis
Lineage: Eukaryota; Viridiplantae; Streptophyta; Magnoliopsida; Ericales; Theaceae
Source: RefSeq, a predicted model, not a curated record
UGGCCUUGUAUAUGUUUCAGAACCAGGAUAUAUGCUUUUUAGAGCUGGAGUUCCUCGGCAUGCCAUUAUUAAAAAGUUUGGAGGUACAAAACCUUCUUCAACAGAUGGCAUCCAGACCAGUGAAGAUUACAGAUUCUAUGCUAUAUCAACUAGGUUCAGUGAAUUGAGUAUCAAGGACAAGACAUUAAAUUAAAUCAAAACUCAGGGGGUUUGUCUUAAUGUUUUUCCUGUUAUUUUUUGGCGAAUGUUAAAACAUAAUUUGUGGAUAUGUUAUUUUGUAGUUAAUGGUAAUUGUAUAUUAAAUUGAAUGGGAAAGUGAAUUAAUGUUGUAUUUGCUACUUGGCAGCUUUUCAUAUAAUUGGUUUAUCUUUUGACAAAUGUUCAUUUGAAUGGAAACGAGAA